UGGGGAAUUUUGGACAAUGGGCGCAAGCCUGAUCCAGCCAUGCCGCGUGCGGGAAGAAGGCCUUCGGGUUGUAAACCGCUUUUGUCAGGGAAGAAAUCUUCUGAGUUAAUACCUCGGGAGGAUGACGGUACCUGAAGAAUAAGCACCGGCUAACUACGUGCCAGCAGCCGCGGUAAUACGUAGGGUGCAAGCGUUAAUCGGAAUUACUGGGCGUAAAGCGUGCGCAGGCGGUUUUGUAAGACAGAGGUGAAAUCCCCGGGCUCAACCUGGGAACUGCCUUUGUGACUGCAAGGCUUGAGUGCGGCAGAGGGGGGAUGGAAUUCCGCGUGUAGCAGUGAAAUGCGUAGAUAUGCGGAGGAACACCGAUGGCGAAGGCAAUCCCCUGGGCCUGCACUGACGCUCAUGCACGAAAGCGUGGGGAGCAAAACAGGAUUAGAUACCCCUGGUAGUCCACGCCCUAAAACGAUGUC
RNAcentral lists this ribosomal RNA (470 nucleotides) under uncultured bacterium. Its description in RNAcentral is "partial 16S ribosomal RNA". It matches the Rfam family "Bacterial small subunit ribosomal RNA", at positions 355 to 813 of the family's 1533-position model. The record is from RNAcentral.